AGUGGAAAGAAGAAGAAUACGUUGAUUUUCAGGUUUGUUCACUGGGAAACAGAAAACGGCCUAACGCAUCCUCGCUUGGUGGGCACUUAGGCUGUAUGCCCCGUGUGACCCUCCGCUCUUGACCCCGAGACAAGCCUCUCCUCCAUUCGAGGACCGAGGCUUCACGACAGACACUGGCAACUAACUGGUGUCAAGUCCCUUUGGGUGCACUCUUGGUUCGGGACGAAACUAGUCUGUUCCCUGUCCCCUGGAGACCAUCUCGAACAUGCCCUGGCUUUGGGGCUUUGCUCGGGGAAGCUGUCCUUUCCCUGCCCGCCCUCCGCCUGCAGCCCCUAGGUUCCUGCCUCCUGCCCCUCUCCCAGCCCCCACCCCUCCCUGCGCCAGAUUCCUGCAGCAGCACCACUGUCCCCUGCCUCCCUCGAGACUCAGAGGGGGGCUUAGACCAUCAUUCGUCUGAGCAGCUAACCGCGCACUGGGUUAUCACUCUGGUGCUCCGAGAUCGUUGGGCUUCAGCGGGCGAAGGGAGCGAGGAGAGUGGACAGCCAGCCAGGGACUGGGCGCCGGGCACCAAACGGUACCAGGACAGGAGGCGCCCUGGGCCCGGGUGAUCGUGCAGAGGCUGGCGGAGCCCAGGGCGUGUCCGGAGAGUCUGCAUCCCUGACCCGUUCCCGCGAGAUGCCCGAGCUGGUCUGUGGGGCCCGCAGGUUGAGUCCCAAGGCCUCACAGGGGCGUCUCCCUAAAUCCUCACAACCUCCUGAGUUGGUUCCUCUAACACCCCUAUGUGACAGAUGAAACUGAGGCACCGAGCAGUUAAACGUCUUGCUCGAAAUCACCCACCCACCCACUCAGCUGUAGAGCCAGGACUCGAACCCAGGCCCGCAAACGCCCUGCAGGCCUACUGUCCCGGGACGCCUGUGCCACAGCCUCGGGACACCCUUCCCCACGAGCGGUGGGCCUCUGAGGGCACUUCGUAAUGCAGCGUGCUUAGGACCGUCAGCCCCCCCGGGCCCAGUCUGAAUGACGUCACCCCACGUUGCUGUCACGUUCCUGAAGCCACUGCCUGGUUCCAUGCCCGACUCCUGCUCCUGUGAUGUAACGAAUUUAAGAGUCUUUACGGCUUAAACCCGAUUCCACAGACAAGUAGAACCCCGGACUAACUCUCUAGGUGUGGGCUGACUCUGGUCAAUUCAUUUCAUGUCUACGAGUUCCAGAAAUGAAUUUUAGCAAUCCGUGUCUUUUUUUUUCCUGCCCUGAAUCAAAGAAGAAAUGUUCCUUAGCCACCAAAGUCCAGUGUUUGGGUUUGGGAGUAAGGGUAGGGCUUUUUCCCUUUCUGUCCAGUUCUGUGUCGCUUCCCCUCCCCGUUGGUGGGUCGUUUUCUUCUCUGCAAAUGAAAACAUUCCCUUCCGGCCCGUCCGCAGCCUCCCACCCGCCGCCCCCUCCGACCCGGUGAGAGCUCGCUCUCAGAAAGGCCAGUGUUCUUUUCUUUGGCACCGCGGGCGCUGUAUCCUGUUUGUUUGGAUUUUUAUUGCUCUCGGCACACAGAGCGAAGAAAGUCCGUUACCAGAGAUGUUAUUAAACAUUCAGAGUGAGCCUGCUUGUAGGGUAUUGACGAGCUCUGAAAACAGGGUCAAGUUUUGUUCAAAGAUACCGAAGCAAAAACUUCCACAGAAAGACUUAGAACAGUCCUUGUAACUCCCACAGAAAUUCUUCAGACAGAUCGGACUGAACGUGAUUUCACACUCGGUCGUCUGCGGAGUGGGCUAGAAACCUGUUUCACUGAGGUUCACCAUUAACAGAUGCUUCUUUUGUUUAUGUAGAUUGAUCAGAAAUGGGGUUGCCUCUGUACUACUAGUUAAUGCUGCCGGACUUAUGAUACCCCCCCAAUAGUUACUGAGUAUUCUGUAAGGCACGGGAUGUUUGUUGUAAAUGAUCGUAGAAAUUAAAAUAAGGUAUUCAACUAAAUACCUAAGGUAUGUAUAAGUGUACAGGUGCUCAGUCACAAAACCAUAGAAUGCACUUGGCCGAUGAGGAAAUCGACACCAGGAGGGUUAAGCGGCAGCGUCACGCAGCGUUUUGAAACCGGAAACCGGGCCCCAGUUCACGGUUGCUCCCACGUUACCUGGGCUUCAUGCGCUAUUGUUUAAAUAUAGUAUGAUGUCUGCACAGGGCGUUCCAGAUGGGCACCAGACUGCAUAGUUGUAUCAACUCCGGGCUAUUUUAAAAGCAUGAUUAGACUUGGGAGUCAUUUCUCCUCUGCCCAUCAUCCCUGCUGAGGGCUAGCGGGCCGCCCCUCACCUCGCAGGCCCCACCGACAGUAUCUGAUAACCAUGUAUAGUGAUGUAUAGCCACCAAUAGUAAUAUUUUACUCUUUGCAAAGGACUUUGGGAAUAUUUGGAAACUAUUUAUUUCUCUCUUUCUGUUGCUUUCAUUUGUUUUUCCAAAAAUAAAAAAAAACCCAAACAAACAUGUAUUAGGAUAAAGUCCUAAUAUAAUGAUGUUGAAUUAUUGUACUCCUUAUUACACUUUAUUUUUAAAAUGAAUAAUAGUUGGGUCAAGAACUAAAUUUCUGCUCAGAUUACUUUCUCAUAACCCUGAGUAGUUUGAUAAAAUAAAAUCCUAUUGAAUAACCUAUAGCAAGAAAGAUAUUAACCCACUUUGUCCCUAGGAAUGAUUUUAAACUUUUUAAAUUAUUAGAAUGUGUUCUGGACUAAUCCAAAAAAAUGACUUUUUAUCACAUCUAAUUUAUAAAGACCCCGAUAACCACUGAAAUUAUGUUUCCUUUGUGAUUUUUUAAAAUAAACGUUUAUUGAAGUCUAAGAUGCAUUUUAAAAAGUAUACGAAUCAUAAGGUGAACAUUGAUGAACAUUAUUUAUGUUCUAAUUACUUGUUGCUGGUCUGGAAACACACCACUGAUUUUCGUUUUGACCUCGUACUCGAUGAUCUCGCUGCACCCGCCACUCCCUGGACUUGUUGAGGACGUCGCGUUGUUGGUGAGCAAGGGCGGUGGUGUUUUUCCUUCUCUGCCCACAUACCUGUGUUCAUGAAACAGCUUAUUUGUCUGGAAACAUGCGGCUGUGUUUUCCUUUCACCUUCACCGCACGGAAUGUUUUCGCCGGUCGGAGACUCACAGGCCGGCGGUCAUUCACAUCCAGACUCCGGAGCUGCCCCACUCGCGUCGGUGCUCAGCGGGUAGAGACCCUGUGCCUUCGAGUGGCCGACCCAGUCGCAUGGCGCUCCUUGAAUCCGAGUGUUACCAGGACCCAGGGACUUCACACUUCGACGUCCUCGUUUCAGCGGCUGUGUUUCCGAUGUGUGUAGAAUUCCCACUGGACUCUUUCUGAAACCCACCCCCAGGCUGCUGGAGCUCUUUAUCCUGUCCUGUCUCCUCUCGAACAGCCUUCUCACCAUCGAUUUAAAGUCCACGCCUCCUAUCCCAGUCGCUGGGUCUCCUGCGUGCUGAUGUCUUCUGCUUGUUACUGUUCUCUUCAUCUCUAGUUGCUUGGUUCUGUCUCCUGGUGUGCCCGGUAAUUGUAAAUAAACGAUCAACAUGGUCGCGAUGG
Phyllostomus hastatus (greater spear-nosed bat) is the source of this 3560-nucleotide long non-coding RNA. RefSeq lists it as uncharacterized. Lineage: Eukaryota; Metazoa; Chordata; Mammalia; Chiroptera; Phyllostomidae. The record is from RefSeq and is a predicted model, not a curated record. The transcript has 2 exons.